RNAcentral lists this long non-coding RNA (1216 nucleotides) under Phoenix dactylifera (date palm). RNAcentral's name for it is "long non-coding RNA (PDAC_LNC011556)". Lineage: Eukaryota; Viridiplantae; Streptophyta; Magnoliopsida; Arecales; Arecaceae. The record is from RNAcentral.
AAAAUACAAAAUCCUUGGCCCUUUGUUAGGGCUGCAUCCAGCCCUAGAGAGGAGAUCAGCCUUCCAUAUAGUUGUGGACGAUAGCAGUAGCGCAGAGGACUCUGACUCCCAUCACGGCUACCUCCUUCUUCUCUCCGUCUUCUCCCUCCUUCUGACUUCCUUGAAAACUCGGCUAUAGGGAGAAGUUUGCUGAUCCUUUCAUCCGAAGAAUGCCCCCUCUGGUUUCCAUGAAGAGCCUUUUAUAGACUGCAUACCUCCCCCUCUCUCCCCUGUUCCAAGUUGAGAUAAAGAUGGAUCAAUAGCUGCGGGAUAGAGUCGAUAUCUUUUGAUCCUUGAAUCGCGGAUGCUGGGAUUAAUCAGGAACAUUGGUUGGUUCGGAAGUAGUGGGUAGGCUGGGAUCUGGGGUGAAUCCAUAGAUGAGGAGAGGAUGAGGAUGCUAGAUUCGGCUGGGAGGAUGUUGUUCCGAAAUAGGGGAAGAUUUAGGACGUGGCCGACUCGUGAUGUGAGGAAGAACAUUCGGGAUUUGGAAGAGAUGAAGCUGAGAUGGCUGGCAGCUGGGAAGAAAUCUGGAGAUUCGGAAGUAGGGGAGAUGAGCAAGAUGCGGGAGCAAAGAUCAUGGGAUUCGGCUGGUAGUGAUUCCAGAACAGAGGAAUUCGUAGAUGCUGGGAGUUAAGAUUGGAUCCUGAGUUCGGUGGGAACAGGGGAUUCAGAUAAGAAAGCAAAGCUGGAUUUGUGAGCGUGGAUAUGGAUGAAACGAAUCCGGAAGAAAAGGAUCAUGGGAUAAGCUUUCAUUUGGCUGGGAGGAGAUCUUUGGAUGCCGUGUUUGCUGGUCCGUGAGGUUCGGGAGGAUGAAGUCGCAUCAUGGGAUGAAUGCGGUUGCUGGGUUCAUGCGGACGGAAGGGAAGAUGAAGUUGAGGAGGGAUUUGCGGACGUUGGGACUUGAUGGAUGCUGAAAGGGAUGAAGGCGGGAUGAGCUGGGGGAUGGGAUUUGAGUUUAUCCCGUGAAGAUGGAGGGAACGGCUGGAAGUGAAGACUAUUGUGAAGACACGAUGGGAAGAGGAUGAGGAUGCUGGGACGUUGGGGAUUUCAUGAGAUCAAGCCGGAAGAGAAGAACCUGUUCUUUGGACAUGGGAGGUAAGGAUUUAAGGAGGAAGAGAAUCACGGAGAAGAUGGGAUUGAGCUGGCUCUGUUUUGAAGAAGAGGAUAAGAGGAUAAG